GCCCUGCCGGCGGAGGUCGUGGCAGCGCCGGACUCCGUUCCCAGGCGCUGGCGGGGUGCACACGCGCCUCCCGGGGCACCAGGGGGAGCGGAGCUGGCGCCCUGGCCACCGGGCCGGAGCCCCUGCUCGCCUCUACCCUCGGUGUCGGAACCCAUCUCGUCGGGUCACCUCCGCGCCCAGCCCGGCCUCCCCUCCGCGCUCAAACUGCGCUUCACCAGCUCUGCCGGCGCCCGCUCGCUGUCCUUCACCGCUUCUGCCCCCGGCGGGCAGCUGAGACCCGGCCGUGACCGCCCCCGGCCCAGGCCUCUUCAGCGCCCGGUGCAGGACGCCCUCCACUCCCCGCUCGGGGAGGAUGUUGGGGUCCCAGAGCAGCUGGUCCUGGUUCUCCUGGAUGUCUCUCACCGUGGCGGUUCAGGGGCUGGUCGCCGAGGUCGGCUGGGUCAGCGUGGUGUGCAGCAGGAAGACCUGAAAUGUGGAGAGAAGAAGGCAGACCAUCUCGGGAUGUUGGGACCCAAGGAAGGAUAUGCUGCAAAGGAAAGGCUACAUUCCGUGGACCCCAUUGAGUCUAAGUGGGCCGAUGUGACUUUCUGGCUGAUGGUAUCCACCACAAGUGAAGUACACCACAUUCAGAACUGGCCGUUAAACAUCCUUCACAAUCAGCCACCGUCUUUCUCCUCCAUCCCUAUGGCUAAGAAGAUGGCAGAGCUGUACAGUGUAAGAAGCCCAGAUGAAUGAGUACACUGCUUGGAGGAGACCCACCCGGGAAAGCCUCCUGACCUGGAAGACCUGCAUUGGACACUGCAGGAGCCAGAAAGAAACCUGCACUGGAUUAAGCCACUGUGAUUUGCGUGUUUAUUUAUUCCUACAGUAUAGUUUAGCCUACUCUGACUAAUACAGAUGCUUAAAAAGACCCCCAAAAAUGAUAGCAACUCAAGCAGCGAAAACCAGAACUGGCACUUUAAUUGCCAAAAUCUGGGAGAAAUUGCCACUAUUUGCAAAGCCUUUAUAAUUGGAUUGAGAAAUAUAACCAGUGACCCAUGAAUGCGUUGGCACUGGGUUGCAGAAAACCCGAUGGCUGAAAAGAAGGUGGAAAGAUGCUUUGCCCCUCCCCGCUGUCUGCCCUGGCUCAGACAUGCAGAGACACUGCCAGCCAGAAAAUGGGGCUGCCCAUCCUCUGCUCCUCCAUGAGGCUUUCUGCAGGUGCCGCUCCCUACUCUGCCACGUCUACCCCAUCCUCGCCAGAUUUAAGUAAAAGAGCAUUAUUGUCUGCUCUGAGUAUGGUGUCUAUUGUUUCUGUCCACAUUUUUAUACUUUUACUCAUGUGCAUUUGUCCAAAAGUAAUACAUCUAUAGUAGUGAGGGGUGUUUUAAAAGAUUUACCUAAAUACUAGCCUAUCCUGUGACUCCUUCUGCAACUUAUUUUUUCAUUUAACACUAUGUUUUCUAUAUUUGUUCAUAUUGAUACUUUCAAUACUUUAUUCGUGUUAACUGCUAUGUAUAUUCAAUAUAUC
This 1510-nucleotide long non-coding RNA is filed under the name Equus caballus (horse). RNAcentral describes it as "lncRNA (ENSECAG00000031211.2)". Lineage: Eukaryota; Metazoa; Chordata; Mammalia; Perissodactyla; Equidae. The record is from RNAcentral.